ACGCUUCAUGGGAGGGAACCCAUAUUUUCUUAAUUUUUUUUAUUUCAAUUUCACAAAUUUAAAUUUUUAGAUAAGUUUAUUUUAUUAUUUUUAAACAUUGUACCAAAUUUUACAGUUUUUGGAAUUGUUUUGGACAGACUGAGUAUGUUGGAUGGACUGAAAUACAGGGCAAAAGCAGUGUUGGAAAACUGCUGCUGAGCCAUUGGAAUUGAGAAAGUUGAAAUAUACAGAGUUGAGAUUUUUCAAAGAUUAGGCCUUGGAGCUGUUGGAGGAGUACAUGUUCAAGACAAAGGAGAUUAUUUUUCUUUAGUUCCAGCAAAUUGGAGAAAAAAGUGCAUAUGCCCAGGUAAGAGACUUUCUUCUUUGAAAACAAAAUGUUCCCCUUUAUUUUUCCCUUUACAAAACAUUGCCCGCACAAUCCCACCUUCUCUAGACAUGCACUGCUUCCAGAAACACAACAACCAGAUUUGCAAGCUCGGGAGGAUAGAUGUUGAGUAGUUAAAUAGACGACGAGGAAAGCAUGCAUGUCAUCCGCCUUAAGAGGCAUCCAGAUGUACAGGUAGACCGGGAGACGGUUCAGAUCCUUAGGCUACCUUCUCAGCGCUUGUAUAGGAGCACUCCACUUGUUUCGGAGUUGCAGUUCAGCUUGGUAAACAGAUAGACACGCCUGAUCUCUAAGGGCUCCAUCAGCGGCACCUUGGAAGAGCUCCAGUUGUUCCGGAGCUACAACUUAUUGAUUGAGGUGCUAUUCGAUUCAAGUGCGUUGUUGUUGGCGAGCACUUAACGAAAGGAGGAGAUCUCUCGACUAUUUUUUGUGGAAUAAAAUUUCUUCCAAGUUCGUUUUCAGUAUAUUAAAUGGUGGACUCGAGAUCUAAGAGUUACUUUUGAUUUAGAUCUAACAUAUUUUAACAGUAAACUAUUGUUCUUGAUUAUGCUUUUAUUGAAUUGUUAUAACUUUUGUCUCUUUAGCAGAUUAUGUAGAAACAGAGAAUUGAGGACAUUGAUGUAGCUAUUGAAGGGGACAUAAUUGGUAACUGUUAAGACCAAAACUAGCCGGAGUUUUUUUUUUUUUUUUUUUGGAUAAUUAUUUUCUAAAUAUAUUUAUAUUUAAAAUUGCAAUCGUAAAAGUUUCUCCAGUUUUUUUUUUUUUUUUUUUUUUUAUGAGGCAUAACUAUUGAGUCAUAUUUUUAUAAAUGUUUGAUAUAUUUUUAUUUUUAUUUUGAAAUUAUCAUGCCACAAUUGUAGGGAUGAUUAAGUGGUAGUGCUUUGGUUCUUAUGCUAUUAAUAUUCCUCAGCAAGUCAGAGACUCCUCAUUCAUUAUCCUUGUUGCAACGAUAACUUAUUUAAGAUACGGUCUAUAAGUUUAUGCAAAAUUAAAACAUACGUAAUUAUUUUAUUUAAUGUCAAUUUUGAUUGUAAGUUAAAAAAUGUUGGUCAAACCAGAAAGAAGACAAAAACACCGUUCUCAGCCAGAGUCAUUGUUGAUGUAGAAAAUAUUAAUUUUCUUUUCUUUUUGGAAUUUCAUUUAUUUGUUCAUAUAUUCACCUAAAUUCCACCGCCCCCACCCUAUAAUUGCGGAGCUUAUUCUGACUAGGCAAUAAUGACACUAUGGAGCUUAUUUUAACAAGAUAAAAAAGAAAUAAUAGGCACCGUUCAGUUGAAAUAACCAUUAGUAUGGUGGUAAACUAACUUUUAGCAAAUUUAUACAUGACUUUAUAUUCUCCUCAAAUUUAUACCCUUUAAGAAUUUAAUUACUACUUCUUAAACAACUAAUUGCAAUAAAUAAUUUAAAGAGUUGUAUUAGAGAAAAAUUAAUUAUUUUUCAUGGAAGUCACAUAAUCUUAUUACUGCCUCAUUAUCUGACGAAGAACAAGCAAGUUAAAUUAAGAAAUUCUAUUUGUAAGAGGCUUGCUGUCUUUUGGGUAUCUCAACGAGUGCACCAAAGAUAAUAUUCUAAGAAUUCAUCCAUAUAAAGAUCUUUAUGUAAGAACUUCCAACAGUGACAUGAAAGAGUGAUUUGUAGAAUGAGAUCCUAUAUUUAUUUUUAGAAGAUCAUUUAGAUGUAUAGAGCGAAAAUAUAUGAUUAUAGGUUCAAACUACAUCCAUUUAUGUUAACCUUCGAAUUAGGUGACAACAUGCAAGUACAAUUAGCAUUUUAACAUAAUUUUAAUAAUAAUUGACAAGGGACAUAGAAACUAGUAUAAUAAAAAGGGCAGGGGACAAGGGGUCACCUUGUCUAAGUCCUUUGCUUGAUUUAAAAAAUCCAUUUUUGGUCCCAUUAAGAACAAUUGAGUACCAGUUAUUAGAGAUGUGUUUGAAAAUAAUAUCGAUCUAUAUUUCAUUGAAACCAAACAUUUUCAUGACUCUGCAUAGAUAGGGCGAUGGCACCCUAUCAUAUGCUUUGGUCAUGCCAAGUUUGAGAACAACAUUAUCAUGUUUGUUAGGCUUAGAAAUAUGUUGCACUAGUUCUUGCGCUAAUAAGAUAUUAUCUGUUAUGGAUCUUCCUUGAAUGAAACCACUCUGAUUAGGGGAGAUAAUGACGGAAGAACUUUGCUUACUCUAUUAUUAAGAAACUUAGCAAUUAUCUUACUAAAUAUGUUACAAAGACUAAUGGGCCUAAUAUCAUAAAAAGAUUGGGGUGGGGGCAUUUUGGGAGCAAAACAAGUAUGAGA
Molecule: long non-coding RNA, 2672 nt
Organism: Lycium barbarum (goji berry)
Lineage: Eukaryota; Viridiplantae; Streptophyta; Magnoliopsida; Solanales; Solanaceae
Exons: 7
Source: RefSeq, a predicted model, not a curated record